Molecule: ribosomal RNA, 444 nt
Filed under: uncultured bacterium
Lineage: Bacteria
Description: partial 16S ribosomal RNA
Rfam family: Bacterial small subunit ribosomal RNA
Source: RNAcentral
GUAGGGAAUAUUGGGCAAUGGUCGGAAGACUGACCCAGCCAUGCCGCGUGCAGGAAGACGGCCCUCUGGGUUGUAAACUGCUUUUAUCUGGCAAGAAAAAGGCCAUGCGUGGCAAAUUGCCGGUACCAGAUGAAUAAGCACCGGCUAACUCCGUGCCAGCAGCCGCGGUAAUACGGAGGGUGCGAGCGUUGUCCGGAUUUAUUGGGUUUAAAGGGUGCGUAGGCGGCUGAUUAAGUCAGAGGUGAAAGACUUCGGCUUAACCGGAGCAGUGCCGUUGAUACUGGUUGGCUUGAGUGUCGGAGGGGUACAUGGAAUUGAUGGUGUAGCGGUGAAAUGCAUAGAUACCAUCAGGAACACCGAUAGCGAAGGCAUUGUACUGGCCGACAACUGACGCUGAUGCACGAAAGUGUGGGGAUCGAACAGGAUUAGAAACCCUUGUAGUCC